GAAAAGAAAUUUUUAUAAAGGCCAUUUUUCAGGCUAUACCUACUUAUAAGAUGACUUGUUUUUUUAUUACAUAAAGCUCUAUGUGAUGAACUUGAAAGUAUUGUUGCAAGGUUCUGGUGGCAGAAGGGACAUGGAAAAAAAGGUAUCCAUUGGUGUGUUUGGAAAAACCUCUGUUUUUUGAAAAAAAAUGGUAGAUUAGGUUUUCGAAAUUAUGAUCAAUUCAAUAUUGCGUUAUUAGCCAAAAAAGGCUGGCGUCUUAUUAAUUAUCCAAAUUCAUUAUUGGACAGAUUUUUAAAAGCAAAGGAAUUUACCUUCACUUACUUGGAAGAGUAUUUGGGCUGCAAAGGGACUUCUUCAAAGAAGGUUGUGCUGGAGAGUGGGUAGAGGGGAUAACAUUUCAAUUUGGGACAAUAGUUGGGUUUAGGGGAUCGACAAAGUUGAAGGAAACAACUGACCAGAAAAUGAGGAGUUAGUCAGUUUCGGAUCUCAUUAACAUUCCAAACAAAAAGUGGAAGACGGAUUUGAUUUAAAAUACCUUUUCAGGAGAAAUUGCGAAGAAAAUUUUAUAGAUCCCACUUGCAGAGACGGACCGUGAAGAUAUUCAAGUCUAGAAAGGAGAACCAUCCGAGGAAUUUUCAGUUUGCAGCGCCUAUAAACUAUUACAAUGGGCUAAUCCGGAUCCUAGUAAUUUCUUAAUACAAACCGAAACUACAGAUUUCUACAAAAAAUUAUGGGGUUUACAGCUUCCUUCAAAAAUCACUAUAAUUAUUUGGCGAAUCUCUUGGGAUUUCAUCCUUCAUCUAGCUAAUCUCAGAUACCGAAGAGUUUCUACAAGUGACAGAUGUCCCUGUUGCCGUUCUUAGGUUGAAACAGUCCUUAUUUUUUUCGUCAAUGCCCUGUAACAACAGAAGUGUGGCAUUUUUUACAUCUAUCUUGGGUCAUGAACAAUAUGAAUCAAACUAUAUGGGAGUGGCUUACCUAGGUUUUCAAGAGAGGAACUGGGGAACAAUGUUGCCUUUUUUGUAUUGCUUUAUGGCUAAUCUGGUUUUCUAGAAAUCAACUCAUUCACGAGAGGAAGGAAAAGACAGGUAGAGAACUUGCUCAUCGAAUACAGAGGUAUAUGGCAGAAAAUGAAGGGGUGAGAGAAACUCCGAAUCCCUUCAACACAAACAAGAAUCACAGAGGUCAGAAGGACAUAUCGAGAAUAACGAUCCAGUUCAAUGUGGCGUUCGACAUUCGAAACUUCAAAUCAGCAACAAGCCUGGUGGUUUGGGGCUUGACGGGCGAGCUCCUGGUCUUAAAGUCGACCCUUCACAACAAUGUUUCUUCCCCGUUCGCAGCAGAAGCAUUUGCAUGUUUGGAAGGCAAAAAGUUAGGGAUAUCAAUGGAUAUCCAAUCGAUUAAAAUCAUGAGGGAUUCUAGAACAAUAAUUAAAAAAUGUCAAACGUCUUCAACAGAUAAAUCAGAGAUCGGAGUGAUCAUAAAAGACAUUCAGAACAGGAAAGUUUAUUUUCAAGAGAUUAUCUUUCAGCAUAUUCAUAGAUCAGGGAACUCACAAGCACACAGAUUCGUAAAGAAUACUCUAGAUAGAUGAGAGAUCUCUUACCUGGUAGGAGAGGAGUUGAAUCGACAUCCUUUCGACUCGGAGGGAAGAUGGUCAAGAAGACCAGAUUAAAGAAGGAGAUAAGGAAUCUGAUUUCAAAAGUGAUAGUAAAUAAAAGCUUUAUUCUUGAAAAUAGCUAUCGUCAGAACGAAUGGGUGCUUUGAAAUGACAAAUCAAUGAAUGGUAGUGGAGGCCAGCCGUUUGAAUUGACUGGGUAGAUAUUUAGUUUCCUGUUUUCCGUCAGAAUCAUUUAAUGCUUUUUGUUUCCUUUAAGUUACGUUUAUUUUACAGUUUUUUUAGGAGGGCCCAUUAAUAUACAAGUUAAUGUGGCCAGAUUUGAAUUUAGGUUUGAUGUAAUAGGACUGGGCCAUGGGUCUUUAUUGGGUUUUUUUGUUAUUUUUUCUCUUCUUUUUUAAUAAUAUACCCGGUCUAUUGAUUUUAAAAAAAAAACUUAAUUUGCAUAAUUUAAAAGGAAAAAU
RNAcentral lists this long non-coding RNA (2082 nucleotides) under Gossypium barbadense (sea-island cotton). Its description in RNAcentral is "long non-coding RNA (GBAR_LNC005941)". Lineage: Eukaryota; Viridiplantae; Streptophyta; Magnoliopsida; Malvales; Malvaceae. The record is from RNAcentral.